This 1350-nucleotide ribosomal RNA is filed under the name metagenome. Its description in RNAcentral is "bacterial LSU rRNA". It matches the Rfam family "Bacterial large subunit ribosomal RNA", at positions 1564 to 2925 of the family's 2925-position model. The record is from RNAcentral.
UGAGUGCGAGCGGCUACGGCCGCGAAGUGGGUGAUGUCAAGCUUCCAAGAAAAGCCCUAUACCCGUUAAGGCAUGAUGGCCUGUACCCGAAACCGACACAGGUGGGGUGGUAGAGAAUACCGAGGGGCGCGAGGUAACUCUCUCUAAGGAACUCGGCAAAAUGGCCCCGUAACUUCGGGAGAAGGGGUGCCACCGCAAGGUGGUCGCAGUGAAGAGGCCCAGGCGACUGUUUACCAAAAACACAGGUCUCCGCUAAGUCGCAAGACGAUGUAUGGGGGCUGACGCCUGCCCAGUGCCGGAAGGUUAAGGAAGCUGGUCAGCGCAAGCGAAGCUGGCGACUGAAGCCCCGGUGAACGGCGGCCGUAACUAUAACGGUCCUAAGGUAGCGAAAUUCCUUGUCGGGUAAGUUCCGACCCGCACGAAAGGCGUAACGAUCUGGGCGCUGUCUCGGAGAGAGGCUCGGCGAAAUAGAAUUGUCUGUGAAGAUGCGGACUACGUGCACCCGGACAGAAAGACCCUAUGAAGCUUUACUGUAGCUUGGUAUUGUGCCCGGGCUCUGAAUGCGCAGGAUAGGUGGGAGGCUUUGAUCCAUGGCUUGCGGGUCAUGGUGAGCCAACGGUGAGAUACCACUCUUUCAGAGCUAGGGUUCUAACGGUCACCCGUCAUCCGGGGACCGGACAGUAUCAGGUGGGCAGUUUGACUGGGGCGGUCGCCUCCUAAAAGGUAACGGAGGCGCGCAAAGGUUUGCUCAGGCUGGUUGGAAAUCAGCCGACGAGUGCAAAAGCAGAAGCAUGCUUGACUGUGAGACCUACAAGUCGAACAGGGACGAAAGUCGGCUUUAGUGAUCCGACGGUUCUGAGUGGAAGGGCCGUCGCUCAACGGAUAAAAGUUACUCUAAGGAUAACAGGCUGAUCUCCCCCAAGAGUUCACAUCGACGGGGAGGUUUGGCACCUCGAUGUCGGCUCAUCGCAACCUGGGGCUGAAGUCGGUCCCAAGGGUUGGGCUGUUCGCCCAUUAAAGCGGUACGCGAGCUGGGUUCAGAACGUCGUGAGACAGUUCGGUCCAUAUCCGGUGCACGCGCAGGAACAUUGAGAGGAUUUCUCCCUAGUACGAGAGGACCGGGAGGAACGCACCUCUGGUGUGCCAGUUAUCGUGCCAACGGUAAACGCUGGGUAGCCAUGUGCGGAGUGGAUAACCGCUGAAAGCAUCUAAGUGGGAAGCCCACCUCAAGAUGAGUGUUCCCAUGGCAUAAGCCAGUAAGGUCACGGGAAGAACACCCGUUGAUAGGCUCUACGUGGAAGCCGGGUAACCGGUGAAGCGGAGGAGUACUAAUAGACCGAGGGCUUGACC